RNAcentral lists this ribosomal RNA (944 nucleotides) under Nitrospiraceae bacterium. Its description in RNAcentral is "partial 23S ribosomal RNA". It matches the Rfam family "Bacterial large subunit ribosomal RNA", at positions 1976 to 2925 of the family's 2925-position model. Lineage: Bacteria; Pseudomonadati; Nitrospirota; Nitrospiria; Nitrospirales; Nitrospiraceae. The record is from RNAcentral.
GUAAGUUCCGACCCGCACGAAUGGUGUAACAACUGGAGCACUGUCUCAACGAAGGACCCGGUGAAAUUGAAAUGGCUGUGAAGAUGCGGCCUACCCGCAGCAGGACAAAAAGACCCCGUGGAGCUUUACUGCAGCUUGACAUUGAGUUUGGGCAUGAUUUGUGUAGUAUAGGUGGGAGGCUAUGAAACUAGAGCGCCAGCUUUGGUGGAGCCAACAGUGAAAUACCACCCUAAUCAUGUUUAGACCCUAACCGUACGCCGUGAACCGGGUACGGGACCGUGUCUGGUGGGCAGUUUGACUGGGGCGGUCGCCUCCUAAANNGCGCCCAAAGGUUCCCUCAGACUGAAUGGAAACCAGUCGUAGAGUGCAAAAGCAUAAGGGAGCUUGACUGCAAGACCAACGCGUCGAGCAGAGACGAAAGUCGGGUUUAGUGAUCCCACGGUACCGAGUGGAAGGGCCGUGGCUUACCGGAUAAAAGCUACCCCGGGGAUAACAGGCUGGUGAGGUCCAAGAGUUCACAUCGACGACCUCGCUCGGCACCUCGAUGUCGGCUNNNNNNNNNNNNNNNNNNNNNNNNNNNNNNNNNNNNGGUUGGGCUGUUCGCCCAUUAAAGAGGCACGCGAGCUGGGUUCAGACCGUCGUGAGACAGGUCGGUCUCUAUCCGCUGUGGGCGUAAGGGAUUUGAGAGGAGCUGCCCCUAGUACGAGAGGACCGGGGUGGACAGACCUCUAGUGUGUCAGUUGUCGUGCCAACGGCAUCGCUGAGUAGCUACGUCUGGCAGAGAUAACCGCUGAAAGCAUCUAAGUGGGAAACUCGCCUCAAGAUAAGAUCCCUGUGAUCCCGUAAGGGAGUAAGACCGCAGGAAGACUACCUGCUUGAUAGGCAACGUGUGUAAGCGCAGCAAUGCGUUGAGCUAAGUUGUACUAAUGGUCGAGGGCUUCCCA